UACCGCCACAUACCGCCCUCGCUCUGUUCCCCCCCUCCUCCCAUGAAAGCCCUCUCCUCCCCCUUGGAAAGCGACAAAGAUCCCCGAGGAGUUCUCCUUCUCCGCAGCGAUCUUGUCGCCGCCUGGUUCUUUCGGUUAUCUUGGUUCCCGUUGGCGGUGGACGGAACCGCACGGUCCUUCGAUCUCAAGAUCGUGAGGAGAAACUAAUCUUGGCGGCUCCGGAGGCCGCCUCUUAUUGGAUCAGGUAUCCGAUCGGGAAGCGGGUGGAGGAUUGCUUCGCUGCCGUGUUCGAGAUUCCGAAUCUUUCCAAUGGCCGGAGGACCGGUGACCCGACCCAGGAAGAGCACGCUCGGCCCGAGAUUCCUUGCCCCGUUUGUGUUGGUGGUGAGUGCUGAGUGGUGAUGGCAGCUGCAUAGGUUGGUGUUCAUUAGAAAGAGGCAAUGGUAACAAUAAUGGUGGUUGUGAUGCAGCUUUGAAGGUUGGUCAACCAUGUCCAUAAGUAUUCUUUUUCUUGUUGUAGCUUUUCCAAAUUUAAUUCAGGAUCAUUCUCUGCAAGUAAAGAGGGCGGCAACCAAUUUGCAUUGUAUCUUUGACUGCCAAUUAUUAUUGUUUAUAUUCUUUCCAUCA
Long non-coding RNA from Musa acuminata AAA Group (dessert banana), 627 nucleotides. RefSeq lists it as uncharacterized. The transcript has 2 exons. NCBI's taxonomy places the organism in Eukaryota, Viridiplantae, Streptophyta, Magnoliopsida, Zingiberales, Musaceae. The record is from RefSeq and is a predicted model, not a curated record.